This 833-nucleotide long non-coding RNA is filed under the name Sus scrofa (pig). Its description in RNAcentral is "lncRNA (ENSSSCG00070028969.1)". Lineage: Eukaryota; Metazoa; Chordata; Mammalia; Artiodactyla; Suidae. The record is from RNAcentral.
AAGUCUGGGUAGCAGGCAGACACCUGCGGUCCUGAGCCACUGGGGUCAGCCUUGGGACAAUUAAAGUGACAAGGAGGUCUGCUGUGCAAGGGGAUUCCUUCUCUCCAUCAUUCAUUAUUCAGUGUGCCUUAUAUGAAAGCUACUGCGGGAGGAUGAGCAUGAGAAACAUGGGAUGCCCCCUCCUAGCACUUGCAACCCAGUUAAAAAGACAGACUUCAAAUGAAUACAUUAACUGAAAGUCUCAGUACCCAUCAGCUCUUUACCAUCAGCUGUAAAAGCCUCCUGGGAAAGCUCUGCCAGAAUUGAAACCUGAAAGACUCAUGUCUCCAGUCCCAUUGUCUGCCACUCACUGUCUUUGCAUCAGUUUCUCUCCCUACAACCUGGUAGGUACUAUCUCCUUCGAGGGUGGAAGGGAUCUGGCAUAUAUAUUGUGCUAAAGGAGCUGAUUUCUGUCAGGGCGCGCGGUGUAAGACAUCAGCACGACAUGAUUUGCGGAGGGAUAGAGAGGGCGGCUCGCCGCACAAUGGUGGGAAAUAGCACGGUGUAUUUUGACAUGAAAGAGUCUCAAAAGCAAAGGAAUUGUUCCUUGUUUGCUUGCUGCUAUUAGACGUCAUUUCAUGUCUUUCCAAGUAUUGGAAUCUGAUAGAGAAUUUUCCCUUCAAAGACCGCAGCAGUCUUUGACGGGGAAAAUUUCCCAGCGGUCUCAAGUGCCCUUCCGCGCGUACUGGGCUAAGUUCUCCUGCAGGAACCAGAGAGAACAGCACACACAGCUGUGUAAAGAUCACAAGCCGAGGAGGGGGAAUUUGCAUAUUACAAAGGAGGUCCAACAGUGA